UAAAGAAACUUACGGCUUCUUCUUUUGGGAUAUGAGCAUCUCUGCUUCUCACUGGGAAAGCUUGUGUACGCAGUAGAUUCUGUGGAAGUGACCGACAACUACCAUGAUGGAUCCAAAUUUUCUCCUGUAUGCUUGAUAAAGGAACUGUUUGCUUUUGAAGGCAAGAGAGUUAGAAACCGUAACCCAGAAGUUAGAAGAAUCCAGAAUUAUGUUUUGAGUAAACAGGAACUGCAGGUGUUUGGCACCUCUGCGUGCUAGCUUGCAGCGGUGAUGGUGAAGAAUGAAAGGUGAUUUAAAAGAACUUUGGAACAAAGCUGCCUGGCAAAAACCUGCUGUGUUGAGAGAUUAAAAACGAAGCCAGAGGAGUGAGUUGGAGCUGGCAGACACAUGGGGGCAGCAACACCUCAGCCAUUGCAAAGAGCUGAGCACAUUUCAGAGCUUCUGCCUGCCCGCCUCAGGGACUCCUCCUAUAUCUAUCAUAUAGCUUUUUCUGGGUCAUCUCCCUAUUUCCCUUUAUUGAAGAGCUAAAUGUACACCUAGUAAAACAUAGGACAAAUUACUGGAGAGGUCUUGCCCCUACGCCAGAUUUCUGAAGCGGACCGCAACUGGGAACAGCACAGACUGUUACUGUUGGCCUGAAUAUGGCCGUGCUCAUACUUCAAAAAAAAAUUCAACAUUUUACACCUAAUAUUUACAUAUAAAGGGAUGCAGUUCGCAUGUGUUAGAGAAUUUUCCUUGGUUGUAUUAUCAUCAAGGAGAAAAUAGUAAUUUGGCUGAAGAAAGUGGCUGUGUUCUCAGCGGUACCUUUCUCAGCAGGCCUUCCUCACAGAGCUGAGGACCCAGGAGAUUAAUAUGAAAAAAAAAUAGUAGGAGGAAGUUACUGUGGAUAUUUUUUCCCUCUUGAGAUGAACACUUUCAGUGUAUUAAGUCUGUGAUCCUUACAGAAAAAAACAGCUUUCUAUUUGCGCUGAUCUGUGUGAAUACAGAAGAGCAUAUAAAGUGCAAACAGGUGCUUGAAGCUAGAAGCAGCGACACUGAUGCGAGGUUCAGCGACCACUGACAGUGGUUUCUUCUCUGAAUUAAAUGCAUAUUCCACCUUUUGUCAUCCAGACUUCUGCAACCUGGCACUUUGGAUUGGAUCUUGUUUAGCAUUACUUUUUCUGAGAAAAUGAUGACUUUUUACUGCCCCAGCUACUUACAGCCUACAUCUAUUAUUUCUUCAAGCAGGAAUACUGGAAUGUGAUGCACCGUGGCCUGCACACAACAACCGCACAGACUUCAACUAGAGCUGAAUAUGGAUUUAGCAGUUCACACUUUUCACCAAUAACCAGCCUACAGAACUAUAACCCUUUGCUUGGUAUACUUAAAAGUGCUGCCAUUGGGUUUGGGUAUCCAUAAACUAGAAAGCCACCGCGUUUUUGUUUAGUUGUGUUUUCCAUUAGUUUGCACUAGAUGAGAUAAUGUAGUUUAUCACACUCACAGGAGCAAAAACAUUUUGCUUGGUCAUUUAUUCUUUUCCUCUGAGCUGUGAUACUCCAAGAGUGUUUAUUUUCAGUGUAUGCUGGAAAAUCUAUUUCUUCCACUUCUUGUCCGCUUGUUAGUCUGUUUGAGGGAUGGUAAUAGGGCAGGCAGGGAAGCUGCUUUUAAUGUGUUCAGACAAUUCUAAUGGAGCAGUCUGACUUUUUUUUUCAGGAUGAAUGAGAUGUACAUUUGGAGACUUGUUUAAGUACUUUAAAAAUAUUGUCUCAUGUUAAACUAUGGCAUUAAAAUUUCAUAUAUGCUAUCAGUGUUUAUGAGCAAAUCCAGAUGCCUCCAUUUAGUAAGUGGAUUCAUUGACCUCCAAAGAUGUGCUUCGUGUAACCAGGGUGUUACUCUGGAAGAAAGGCAGACAUUAAUGGGCACUAGGGUGAAAGCUGUCCUUACCCGACAAUAUCUGCAGUAUUGACAAUACAGGAGAGGAAUAAGAAGGAAGCAUUUUUAAAUCUGUUGCUAAAUUUUUUUUGAUGACAUGUACUCUCAAGUCAUGUAGGAUAAGCACUCAUUGUAAUGCAGCACAAACAGUUUCACAAUACAAAGGGAUUAAUUUAAGUUGAGUAUCUAAACAAUAGCUAAUAAAAAACUC
Molecule: non-coding RNA, 2122 nt
Organism: Struthio camelus australis
Lineage: Eukaryota; Metazoa; Chordata; Aves; Struthioniformes; Struthionidae
Source: RefSeq, a predicted model, not a curated record